Molecule: ribosomal RNA, 468 nt
Filed under: uncultured bacterium
Lineage: Bacteria
Description: partial 16S ribosomal RNA
Rfam family: Bacterial small subunit ribosomal RNA
Source: RNAcentral
GACGAACGCUGGCGGCGUGCUUAACACAUGCAAGUCGAACGGAAAGGCCCUGCUUUUGUGGGGUGCUCGAGUGGCGAACGGGUGAGUAACACGUGAGUAACCUGCCCUUGACUUUGGGAUAACUUCAGGAAACUGGGGCUAAUACCGGAUAGGAGCUCCUGCUGCAUGGUGGGGGUUGGAAAGUUUCGGCGGUUGGGGAUGGACUCGCGGCUUAUCAGCUUGUUGGUGGGGUAGUGGCUUACCAAGGCUUUGACGGGUAGCCGGCCUGAGAGGGUGACCGGCGACAUUGGGAAUGAGAUAAGGCCCAGACUCCUACGGGAGGCAGCAGUGGGGAAUAUUGCACAAUGGGCGGAAGCCUGAUGCAGCAACGCCGCGUGCGGGAUGACGGCCUUCGGGUUGUAAACCGCUUUCGCCUGUGACGAAGCGUGAGUGACGGUAAUGGGUAAAGAAGCACCGGCUAACUACGUG